This 770-nucleotide ribosomal RNA is filed under the name uncultured Staphylococcus sp. RNAcentral's name for it is "bacterial SSU rRNA". It matches the Rfam family "Bacterial small subunit ribosomal RNA", at positions 97 to 846 of the family's 1533-position model. The record is from RNAcentral. Lineage: Bacteria; Bacillati; Bacillota; Bacilli; Caryophanales; Staphylococcaceae.
GGCGGACGGGUGGAGUACACACGUGGAUAACCCUACCUAUAAGACUGGGAUAACUUCGGGAAACCGGAGCUAAUACCGGAUAAUAUUUCUGAACCGCAUGGUUCAAAAGUGAAAGACGGUCUUGCUGUCACUUAUAGAUGGAUCCGCGCUGCAUUAGCUAGUUGGUAAAGGUAACGGCAUACCAAGGCAACGAUGCAUAGCCGACCUGAGAGGGUGAUCGGCCACACUGGAACUGAGACACGGUCCAGACUCCUACGGGAGGCAGCAGUAGGGAAUCUUCCGCCAAUGGGCGAAAGCCUGACGGAGCAACGCCGCGUGAGUGAUGAAGGUCUUCGGAUCGUACAAACUCUGUUAUUAGGGAAGGACAUAUGUGUAAGUAACUGUGCACAUCUUGACGGUACCUAAUCAGAAAGCCACGGCUAACUACGUGCCAGCAGCCGCGGUAAUACGUAGGUGGCAAGCGUUAUCCGGAAUUAUUGGGCGUAAAGCGCGCGUAGGCGGUUUUUUAAGUCUGAUGUGAAAGCCCACGGCUCAACCGUGGAGGGUCAUUGGAAACUGGAAAACUUGAGUGCAGAAGAGGAAAGUGGAAUUCCAUGUGUAGCGGUGAAAUGCGCAGAGAUAUGGAGGAACACCAGUGGCGAAGGCGACUUUCUGGUCUGUAACUGACGCUGAUGUGCGAAAGCGUGGGGAUCAAACAGGAUCAGAUACCCUGGUAGUCCACGCCGUAAACGAUGAGUGCUAAGUGUUAGGGGGUUUCCGCCCCUUAGUGC